This 330-nucleotide unclassified non-coding RNA is filed under the name soil metagenome. RNAcentral describes it as "partial contains 5.8S ribosomal RNA, internal transcribed spacer 2, and large subunit ribosomal RNA". The stretch from base 1 to 120 matches the Rfam family "5.8S ribosomal RNA", at positions 35 to 154 of the family's 154-position model. The record is from RNAcentral.
GAUGAAGAACGCAGCUAAAUGCGAUAAGUAAUGUGAAUUGCAGAAUUCAGUGAAUCAUCGAAUCUUUGAACGCACAUUGCGCCCCCUGGUAUUCCGGGGGGCAUGCCUGUUCGAGCGUCAUUUCACCACUCAAGCCUCGCUUGGUAUUGGGCAACGCGGUCCGCCGCGUGCCUCAAAUCGACCGGCUGGGUCUUCUGUCCCCUAAGCGUUGUGGAAACUUUCGCUAAAGGGUGUUCGGGAGGCUACGCCGUAAAACAACCCCAUUUCUAAGGUUGACCUCGGAUCAGGUAGGGAUACCCGCUGAACUUAAGCAUAUCAAUAAGCGGAGGA